UAGGGAAUCUUCCGCAAUGGACGAAAGUCUGACGGAGCAACGCCGCGUGAACGAUGAAGGCCUUCGGGUCGUAAAGUUCUGUCGUUAGGGAAGAACAAGUGCCGUUUGAAUAAGGCGGCACCUUGACGGUACCUAACCAGAAAGCCACGGCUAACUACGUGCCAGCAGCCGCGGUAAUACGUAGGUGGCAAGCGUUGUCCGGAAUUAUUGGGCGUAAAGCGCGCGCAGGCGGUCUCUUAAGUCUGAUGUGAAAGCCCAUGGCUCAAUCAUGGAUGGUCAUUGGAAACUGGGAGACUUGAGUACAGAAGAGGAGAGUGGAUUCCACGUGUAGCGGUGAAAUGCGUAGAUAUGUGGAGGAACACCAGUGGCGAAGGCGACUCUCUGGUCUGUAACGACGCUGAGGCGCGAAAGCGUGGGGAGCAAACAGGUUAGAUACCCUGGUAGUCCACGCCGUAAACGAUGAGUGCUAGGUGUUAGGGGUUUCGAUGCCCUUAGUGCCGAAGUUAACACAUUAAGCACUCCGCCUGGGG
RNAcentral lists this ribosomal RNA (530 nucleotides) under uncultured bacterium. RNAcentral describes it as "partial 16S ribosomal RNA". It matches the Rfam family "Bacterial small subunit ribosomal RNA", at positions 355 to 878 of the family's 1533-position model. The record is from RNAcentral.